This 115-nucleotide ribosomal RNA is filed under the name Rubellimicrobium sp. CFH 75288. Lineage: Bacteria; Pseudomonadati; Pseudomonadota; Alphaproteobacteria; Rhodobacterales; Roseobacteraceae. The record is from RNAcentral.
UCUGGUGGCCACAGCCUGCGCGAAACACCCGAUCCCAUCCCGAACUCGGCCGUUAAGCGCGCAAGCGCCGAUGGUACUGCGUCCCAAGACGCGGGAGAGUAGGUUACCGCCAGAC